AAGGGGAAAAGGUCUUUGAUCCAAUUCUCGCCCGUUUUAUACGGGGGCAUCAGCCUUGCCUUGCUACUUACUCGAAGCUACUAAGGUAGAACCUUUCUUACUAUGUAACCAUUAGUAGUUGAUUCACCGGUGAAAUGAAAAAGUAAGACAUUUGUGUCAAAGGAUCAAAACGGCUUAUGAAAUGAAUGGAAUUCCGGCUCUCUGUCAAAGACGCAUAGGGUCUUCUCCUCCAAGAGGUUGUGUUUGAUGAAAAAUUUUGCAUUCCCUAUAUUCAAUUAAGGAAAAAGGAAUUAUUAUAGGUGUCAAUCAUCUGAAACCCUACUUUUCAAAAAUGAAAAGGCUAGCUUUUUUUUUUACACUAUAAAUAGCAGAUUUUUUAAAAACUUUGUUUGCUCACUUCUUACUCCCUAUAAUUAGGUUGAACCUGGAAAAAGGGGAAAGUUAUGGCCUUGGGCGGGUGUUCUUUUCUGAGGUUGCUUUGAGUAAUCAGAUGCAUAAAGAGCUGGAUGAGCAAUCAUCAAUCAAGCUUCUUAAAAUGGGUAAGGCAAAAUAUUAGCAGUUCAAUAGCCAGUCAAAAUUUUAGUGGAAUUGCUAUUUCUUACCUUACGAAAUCAGCUUUCAAUCCAGCAGGAAUAGCAGGUUACAGGGCAAUCUCUCCUGUGAGCAAACAAAGAAUUGAGAAUCUAUUACAUCUUACUUGUGCCUGUUAGCAUCUUAGUGGCUAGCUUCAGCUUUCUUAUCUGUACUGGACUAUUUUGAAUUAGCAUCUUUAUAGUUUCAUCCGAUUCCAGAUGGAGUUGGAGUCCUUCCUGCUAGUGCUUUGCCUUCCAUUUACAGGGUUGGAGUACUAACCGAAAGAAGGGUAGAAGUAUCUCAAGUAGUUUGAUCUUCCCAAAUGGGAAAAGAAUAUGAUAGAUUGCUCUAUAGGUAGGAGGUGUGUAAUAAUUUUCAGUCUCAAAAUAGAUUGCAGGAAAUUAAGAACCCUAGUCUUAUAGUAAUUAGGUUCAAGCUUGUGAGUGAUUGGGUAAACUCUGCAAGUGCACAGGUCAUAUAAGUAAAUAAUAGUGACCAAAAGGUCAAGAUGUUGAUCUCAUAAGGAUUGGUUAAAGAGGUUCCUAAACUAAGUACCUUUUAUCCCCAUAUGCUUUUAAAGUUGGUUUGAUCAAAAAAUAAUCAUGAAAAUUAACUAUCAAAAUAAAACAGAAUAAAGCAUAAAAAAUAUGAAGCUAAAUAAAUGAGAAAAUAACAAGAAUAAAAAGUAAAUUCAUGCUAUAAAAUGUAAAAUACAGCAACUAAAUCAAGGAAAAAAAACAAAUAUAAAGUAAAAUUGAAGUGAUAAAAAUGCAAGAUAUAAAUAACAUUGCAAAAUAAAAAAUUCUCAACUAACCUAGACUAAACCAUAACUUGCAACAUAAUAUGGAAUCCAAAUGGCAACAAGGUAAUGAAAUAAAGCCCAAAAAUUGCAAAAUCAAGUAAAAGAAUAUAUUAAAGAAAAGUAUGAAAUUCAAAUGAUAAAAAAAAUGCAAAUUUAACAUGAAAAGUGCAAAUUGAAAGCUAAUGCCAAAAUCUGGAAAUUUAAAUGGAUUUAUGGAAAAUGGAACUAAAACAUGUAAAACUAAAUGUAUAUAGGCUGCAAAUUGGAAGAACACUCAAUGAACAUCAUAAGAUUUCAAAUUAAAGAACAAAAGCUAAAGAAAAAUUGCAAGAUUCAAUAAAAGAAAAUUGAAACCAAAACUGAUUUUAUAAGCUGGAAAUUAAUAGUUCAUGGAAGAAAAAUUAGAUCUACAAUUCUCUAGAGGGAAUGAACUAAAACUAAGCUGCAACCUAGAUCUAUGAGUUAUCUACCUAAAUCAAUAAGAAAUAACAUGAAUCAACAAAGAAAUCAGCUCAAUGAACUCAAAUUCAAAAACAAUGUAGAAUAUGAAAAAAUAGAACCUCAUCAAAGAAAAUUAACCAAACAACAAUGAAAAGCAUGAAAUAAAUUGUGCAACAUUAAAAUUAACAAGGUAACUAAUAGAACUAAAGAUCUAAAGAAGAAAGUGAGCCAAAAAAAUCACCAAAGUGGAGAGAAGUUCAUGCCAAAGUAGUUGUUCAAAACUAGAACUACAUUAUCACUUGCAUCCAGCCAAAAUUUCCAAGCUUGAUCUGGAACGUCAUGGUGCGAGCUUGAAGCUAAGUUUUUUUUAUGUUGUAGCAAAAUGAAUUAAGAAACUGUAAAAAAAAAUUAAACAAAAACAAGCAAGAUUUGAUGGAGAUAUCAUCCAAAAAUCACAGGUAGGUCAAAACAGACAGAUUUAAAAAUAAUUUUGCAUAUCAACAAGAAAUUAGUAGAUUUAAGCUAGAAAAUGAAUACAAAUGGAAAUUUUAUUGAAAGAUUUUUAAAGGGCACUUAAAAACACUUAAAAAAUAGUAAAAUUGUAAUGAAAUUCAAAAUGAAAAAUGCUAGACAUAAAGUGUUUGGCAACUAAGAAAAUGUAAAGUAUAGAAAAGAAAAUACAAGAAAGUAAAGAAACAAAAAUUUAAAUCCUAAACUAACUCUCUUCCUAUGGCCAGCCCUCUCCCCUUAUUUAUAGGCAAAAGGAAAGAGCCUAAGGUCUAAAAAAAAUCCAAAAAGUUUUUCAUUUGGCUAGGCACUUCUGGAGCUUUCUUCAUUUUAUGCUCAUUACUAGGUGCACGUUGGUGCCGCUUCAGGUGGUUAGCUGUUUCCUUAAUAGGUUUGCAAUUUGCUUUCACGUGUAAUGGCUGCUCCACAAAGUCAACACAAUAGCCAAUCAUAGCCCUUUAAAAUGCCAUAUUAGCUCCUUGCCUUGGUGUUCUUAAACCUUGCAAUUUUGGUGCUUAACUUAGCUCCCAUGCAUAUGUCCAUGCACCACAUUUUUGCCUUUCAAAUUUUUUUCUACAAACAAUUUCGAACGCUUGAUGAAUUUAUUUAUCCUACAUUUUAUUAAAAACAAUUAUGAAAAUAAUACUAAAAGAAUUAUUCAAGUUAAGAAAACUUCCUAAGUGUCAAUGUGGCCUAUUGACAUUAGUUGAGGCCAUAUGCACAAAUUACACAAAAAAUCCUCCAAAUUUGUAUAAAAAAGUCCAAAAUUCCACAAAUCCAUUAUUUGUACGUACACAUGAGAUUAAUGUGCAUUUAGGAGUAAUUUUGCUAAAAAUCCUAAGGAACAAGCCAAAAUAUGAUUAAAAUUGCACUCAAAAUGAGCAUGAAAAAGCUAAAAUUUUAGUGCAACCAAUGAGUUAGUAAAAAUCAAUUUUCGUAGCUAAAGUGAAUCCUUUUUCUAAGGGGCAAGCUAGUUUGAAAUAAGGUAAUAGACAUACAAGGGUAGAGCUUAGGGGUUUCUUUGCUUUUUUUUUACUAUUGCAAAAAAAAAAAAAAAGAGCUAAACCCUUCCAUUUUCAUUUCAUUGAUUGCUAGUUUAAUGGAAAGAUAUCUAUAGGGGUUAAGGGCAGCUAGAGUAGGAAUAUCACAAGCAAACUUAUAUUAUUACCUAGAUAAGUUCUAGCCUACCCGUUAAAGUUUGUUUUCAAUCUUUUAAUUCAACCCAUUUCUUGCUAGAAACUAGAGAUAUGGAUUUGGAUAUGAUGUAAUUACUUGAUUAGCAAGAACAUGAUCUCUUCAAGAAGCACUCAUUUCAACUCAACAAAAGGGUUCCUCAUAUAAACAUAUAAUCUAUGUACGAAAACAUAAAUGAUUAUUUUGAAUAGAAGAAGUUCUAAGUAAACUUAACUCAAAUUGGAUUUUUACUCCAGAAAAGACAAACUAAUAUAAUGCAUGAAAAAGGUUUACCCAUAAGUUGACUCUUUUAAUCCAACUCUAUCAAAAGAGAAAAAAAGCUGGGACUAUGACUUGCUUAGUGCAAGGCUGCUUGUCCUGAUUUGUUAGACACUUUCUUCAUCUAAGGUCUUAGCUGGGUCAAUUUAUUAAGUUUUUCUAGCCAGUCUAUUGAAUGGGGUAUGAAAGAUUGUUAGUUAAAGCUUUGUUAAGAGUUUAUCUUCUAAGGAGUAAUCAAGAUAAGAUGACUUUAAUAAUUCUUUUUAUGGAGCCAAAUGUGAGUUUUUUGCCUACUAAUCUUACUUAAAAAAGUCAAUGCCAAUAUCAUUCAUUAUAGCAAAGAAAGGGGAAAAAAGUGAAGCGUUAGUUUGAAUUAAAGUAGAAGAGAUGUCAUACGGUAUAAGGCAAUAAUGUUUGUUGUCGGUAUGAAUAAAACCUUGUUUGUUAGGCUAGAUCGAUGUAUAUUUCUUGGUGAUAAUCUUGUUUCAUAGGACACCAUAUUCUCUAUAUAAAGAAGGUGGAACUAGCACACUAAAAAUGGCUUAGUGUGACCUAGCAACUGUGCAUUUGAGAAUAGUCUUGACUAUUGGGAUAGCAUGAAUAAGGAUGGUUCAAGGUUUAGCUCAUCGGUUGCCCUACGUCAGUAGUCCUCCUAACUUUUAUUCUUUUCUAUUCCUGCCUAAAAAUAAAAAAACUUUUAGAAUUGCACAAUGAUUGCAAAGGGGUUCUAGGUGAAUAUUGUAUUGUUCGCCUACAUGAGAUGGGCUGUGAAUAUAUAUUUAGACUUUAGGGUUUUUAUUAAAAAAGUAAUACUUCACUUUUAGAUAUCUACAAUAGAAAAUAAAAAGAUUUUCACUUAAUUUAAUAACAUGUUCUAGGGCAUUUAUUUUAACUAAUUAAGAUAGUGGGAUUUGUAAUCUAUUCACAUAUUUUGUUGCCAGGAUACACAAUCUCUUAUUAGCUUUAGGUUGGUUAAGAAUUAGAGUAGAUACUAAAAAAUUAUGGUCACUUUUAGAACCACUAAUUAAAUAGUCCUUUAUAGGACUAAGAAGUAGAUUCCCAUUCUUUGGGCUACAAAACUUUUCUUCCUAUCUCAAAGAAAAAUGGGUUAACAAGAGUAAGUAAUAAACUAACCAUCCUCUAAGAAGGAAGUAAGUUGCCCUCUAAUCCUAACAACUACCAUAUUAGUCCUACCCUCAGGUGACUUACCUUAUUCUUAUUUAUUUAUUGGAAACCAUGACUUCAGAGUUGACUUAAAUGAAAAGAGCUUUUGAAACUAAAGUAAGAAUUGCUCAUAUGGCAAAAAAACUAAUAAUAAAUUUUAUUCCAACAAAAGUAAAGUGAACAGCUUCAUAUCCUAGAGCCUUUGAUUCCAAGGUAAAGUAAAGUGGAGAAUCCUAUUAUUUUGAUUCCAUAAAAACUCUUUUUCUUCUUUCCAAAUGAUAGCUUUUUCUUUUUUUUUUUCCUUGUUUAGAGCUUAACUUACUUGAAAAAGACUUGUAAGAACAUUAGUAAUAGCCAUUUCAAAAAAGCUAAGAAGACAGGAUUGUUUGCGAUUUGUGUGGCAGCUUGGUUGUCACAGUAGAAGGGCAUAGCACCACCUUCAAACACGCGUAAUUCGCAUAAAAGUGAUCUGAACCAUAACAGUUGUCAUGUAGCAUAACCCACAACAUGACACUCAACCUCCACACUUAAAUAAGCAACCAUGAUCUGCUUCUUACUUUUCCAUGAGAUGAGAUUACCAUCAACAAACAACUCAUACUCAGAGGUGGAUCUUUGAUCACUAGGGGAUCUAUCCUAAUCUAUAUAAAAAAAUCCUUCAAUUCUGAGAUGAUUAUUAGCCUUGUAUAAAAGGCCCUGGCCCGGUGUCUUCGUCAAAUAUCGCAAUAUCUGCAUAACAGCCUCCCAGUGUUCAACUCGAGGCUGAGCCAUAAACGGGCUAACCACUUGGGGUCUUUGACUUCUCUGAUAAAGCCAACCUUUACUAGCUUAUAAAUUUUCAUGAUAAUAAGUAAGAGUUUGAAAGCUUGCUUGAUGGGAGCAGUCUCGCUUUUUAUAGUCAAUUCGUGGGUCAAGCCCAGGCAUUUCUUUGUAACUCUAGGCGAAGAUCUUUUUAUUUUGCAUCAAUAACUCUUUCUAUUGUUCCCUUUCAUCUUCAGAUAGGUUAGCACUGAUGAACACAGGCCUUGGUUCUUCACUUGUGCCAAGAUUUAUUUCCAUUAGCUUGUCAACCAUUGCUUGACCACCAUAUUCUAGUUUUGAGGAUUCAAACAACUUCACAGUUAUAAGUCAUUUUCUCAUGGUAGCUUGGUGACUCCACCGAAGAUGUUAUUUUUUAAGAGAGUCAGGCCAAAAUUGGUCAUAUGUUAUCCUAAGCUUUGAUUUAAUAGUCUUAAUUAAUAUUUAAAUUUAAUUCUUUUGAUUUUCUAAGAAAAAGUGCUACAUUGCAUCCAUAUUUUGAUUGUGUCAUUUAUUCUAUUUUUUUAUGUUUCUUAUAUACUAUUUUUAAUAAAUUAUGGGGCAUUUAGGAUAAGGGUAAUUUUGGUAAAAAAGUGUCAAAGGUUUGUUUGUUCCUUUGCACACACGAUCUCAUGCAUUGCAUGCAUAAGUUUUAUACCCAGGCUCUUACCUUUUAAGGAAGGAGUGAAGUACCUAUGCUCUUAUAAGGUGAAUACCAUUGUAAUGGCUAGCAAAACACUUUCACUCAUACUGAACUCGUUUUGUUUGUAGCCUAUAAUGGGUAAAGAUCGAGGUGCCUUUCUAGUCUAUAAUGGAUGAUGAUGUAAGGAACAAUUUGGGAACCUUUAGACGUAUAAAUCCCAACCUGACAUAUAAUGAACCUUAGGGGGUUAGCCUAGGGUAAAGCCAUGUUAAACCUUUUGUAGAAAUUAUUUGAAUUAAGAUACGUGAAGAACAUUCUGAUAUAAUCCAGAUUUAGACUUAAUAAUGGUGCGAAUAAAGCUAAAAUUUUGAAAAAAGGAAUAAUAAAAGAACUUUCUUUCAUGAAAUUUUCUUCUGACAUACAAUUCAAUUUGUUUGUUAUUGGUCCAAAAUUUGCAUCUUCAAGAAAAAUUUUGUAAAAAAAAAACAAAUUAGUAUCAUCCAACAAAAUUUUUUUCUUAAAUUCUUUGUUUAUUGGCACAAAAAAGAACAAAAAUUAAAAAAAAAAAGAGAAAAACCUUUGAAUCCUAGUUAUUUUGUGUAAUAAAAAAUGUGUGUUCUUGAGUUUUUUUCCCUCUUUCUAAAAAAAUAAAGAGAUUUUAAGUUUAAAUGUAGUUUCAUCUUAUGUAUUUCAUUUGAUCCUUUUCCACAUAUUUUUAUCAUGCUUUUGAUGUUGGAAAUAGUAAGACAAUACAUGCACCAUAUUUCAUGUACAACCUAAUAAGAUAAUAUAUGUAUCUCAUUUCAUGCAUCUUAAUAGAUAAUAAAUGCAUUCCAUUUCAUGAACAUCCUAAUAAAAUAGUACAUGCACCUCAUUUCAUGCACACCUUAAUAGAUAAUACAUGCAUUCCAUUUCAUGAACAUCAUAACAAGAUGGUACAUGUAUUCCAUCUCAUGUACAUCAUAAUGAGAUAGUACAUGCACUCCAUCUUAUAUGCAUGUCAAUAGAUAAUAUAUGCACUCUAUCUCGUGUGCACCUCAAUAGAUGGUACAUGCAUGUCAUUUCAUGCACAUUGUAAUGAAAUAUUACAUGUAUUCCAUCUCAUGAACAUCUUAAUGGUAGUUUCAAUUUCAUUAAAUUUUCAUAACAUAUGCAUUACACUUUAUGUAAGCAUACCUUAUCAUGCAUAUAAUAUGUUAGUGCAUUUCACUUAAGUGUGUUUCAUUAGUCAUAUACAUGCAUCUCAUUAUUCAUGAAGUAUGGCAUUGUUUUUUAGUCAUGUGGAUUCAUGAGUGAUAUAAUUUUGAUAAAAUAUGCAUUGUACAAGUUGUAUUUCAUGUAAACACAUCUCACCCCCAUUAUAAUAUGAUAUUGUUCCCCAUGCAUACACAUUUACAUAUGUGGUAUGAUUUUUGUCACUUAGGCAUUGUAUGUAUGUAAAUAUUCAUCUUUCUAGCAUCCAUGCACCUUAAUAGUGUUUUGCCCUAGUCAUGCAUCCAUGAUCAUGUCAUGCACAUUCACCAUCAUAUAAAAUAGCUUUUGAUCUCAUUUCUUUCGAAGAAUAAAAGGUUAAUAGUGCUGAUUUCUUGUUAAAUCUCUUAAGAGUAGUUUUGUUCAUCACAAAGAAGAUUGUAGAGCUAGAACAAAAAGGAUUUAAUAGGGUCAAGAAGAGAUAAGGGAAAGCAUUACAAGAAUAAGGCAAGAUUUUAAAAGAUAGUUAAUGAAGUUGAAACAAAUAGUGACAAGGCUUUCAAAAGGAAAGGGAAUUGUUGAAACGUCUAGGACAAGGGAAGAAGCUACUAUUAUGGAACUAUUGUACCCACUUGGGCUCAUACAUCCCUAUGCUUAGAAUUCCUAUACUACACAACCAUCGCUAGCAAACAUUAGCCUUACACUUAUACUAAUAUUUCUACUAAACCACCUUUGGUUCAGAUAAAUGUCAAUCUCGAGUCUAUUCCUUAUGAUCCCAUUGCAAUACUCAAUCUGGAUUAUCCCAAAGAAUGGGAGAAGCUAAAAAGGGUAUCGGUGAAAGUAAAAAACACAGAGAUGAAAAACAAGUAUGACUUUCUAGAGGAAAGGUUAAAGGCCAUUGAAAGGCAUAGUGUAUAUGGAGGAAUUUAUGUUAAUAAGCUGAGUUUGGUGCCUAAUCUAGUUAUUUCGACCAAGUUUAAAGUGCUAGAUUUUGAAAAGUAUAGUGGGACUCGAUGCCCCUUGGCUCAUAUCACCAUGUAUUUUUGAAAGAUAGUGAGUCACAUUCAUAAUGUCAAACUGUUAAUUCACUAUUUUCAAGAUAGUCUCACCAAAUUUGUGACAAGGUAGUAUGCUCAUUUAGAUCAAAUAAAAUUCAUUCCUGGAAAGAUCUAGUGAAGGAUUUUAUUGCACAGUAUAAGCAUAUGAUUGACUUGGCUCCUGAUUAAUUGUCAUUAAACAUGCAAAAGAGAGCCAAUGAAAGUGAUUGCACUAAAAUUUUAACUUUUUAUGAUUAUUUUUAAUGCAAUCUUCCUUAUAUUUUAGCUUGGUCCUUGCAAAUUAUGGCAAAAUAUUCCUAAAUGCACAUUUUUCUCAUGUAUAGGUAAAAAUGGAACAUAUGAGGAAUUUUGAUCAAUUUGGAUACAUUUUGAAGGAUUUUUGGUGCAAAUUGUGAAAAUGGCCUAAAACUAUUGUCAUUAAGUUAGAUUAGCUUUGAGGAAGUUUUUUGAACCUUUCUUUCAUAAAAUUUUAGCAUUAUUUCUAGCAUUUUUCUAGUGAUUUUAUUGCUAAAUUUGUUCAUGGAAUACUUGAAUUUUUUUGUACCAAAAAAUGAAAACAUACAUGCAUGCAAAAGGCUUAACGAGGAAAAGAUGGUGCACUAGUGGCGUGGAAUGCAAUCUUCAUUUUCAUGAGAAUUAGGCAUCACAUUUUGGCAUUCAAAGGAAGGCUUAAAGAGGAAAAUACAUGGCUCUUUGUAGAGAUCCUACUGGCUAUAAAGAGGACAUUUUGGUGUGGCAAAAAUGCAUAAAGGGAAGCUUGCUAACUAGUGAAGAGUUUAAAGCUAAACAACCAUGGACCAAGUGCAAAAGCAAGGAGGAAAGAAGUCUCUAGAAGCUCACCUCAUUGUAGAUAUUUUGGAGAGAUAUUUUAGGGCUUCAUUCACCACUCACAUGCCUAUAAAUAGGAGUCAAGCCAGCCAUUUCAGGAAGACUUUAGCUUAGGAUUUUAUUUUUCUUAUUCUUUAAUAUUUGCACUUUCCUUCACUAGAUUUUACUUUUUUCAGCAACCAAACAGCCCUUAAUCUUCAUGUUUUUCUAUUGAUUUUUAUUGCACUUUUACAUUUCCUCAAGUAUUUUUCAGUGUUAUUUACGAUUUUGACAAUGAAACAUGCAAAUUUUAUUGAUUUCCAACUCAAAUCUUCAAGUUUUCUUGUUGAUCUCAAAUCUGUUUCUGCAUUUUUGCACUUGACCUAGUUGCAAUAUUUUAACUAGAACUCAAUCAUUUCUUAUUUGUUUUUGCUCCAAUUUUUUUCACAGUUUUGUAGCUCAUUAGGCUCUAACAUAGUAAACAAUCAAUAUCAAAUUCAUUCCCAAUCAAUUAAUUAUGGUAAGUUAAGGUUGAAAUCUGGAUCCAAUGUAGUCCGGGCAUGAUCUCCAAGCUUAAGCACGACUCUUCUCUCCUCUUGGCAAAUUGUUUGAUCUUCAAACCUUUGAUCUAUUAGAUUUGCUUGUUUUCUUGCUUAUUUCCUUUUUUUUUUGUAAUUUAUUUCAUGAUUUUGAUAGCUGUUUGGACUAAUUAUGUUGUUCAUGCUCUGUUUUUUGCUUCGUUCUGUACUAAUUUUGAACUUGUUUAAUGAGCUGAUUUUGUUAUUCAUUCAUGCACUUCUCUUGUUAAUUUAGGCAGUUAACUCAUAAAUCUAGGUUGUUAGAUAAAAUUCCUUUUCAGCAUAUGAUCACUUGUUGAAUUUUUUUGUUUAGAAAUUUCUUGCAUUUCCAAAACAUAUUAUCUAUUGUUUUAGUUUCUUUGCACUGUUUGAAUAUUUUCCUGCAUUCUUUCUUCUACCAUUUAAUUCUUCAUUAAGUGAUUCAAGUAGUUUUCUAGUUAGCUUAAAUAAAAAACCAUUUAUGAAUCAUUAAGAGUCAAAUAAAAUCAUAUUACAGCUUGCAUUUGUCUAUUACGUUUCUAGUUUUUGCAUUUCUGAUUGGACAAAUUUUUCUUUUACAUUUAGCUUAUUCAUUAUCCUUUAGAUUAUACAUUUUAAUAAGUGGUGUAUUGGUUGUUUAAGAGUUAGUUCAAGUUUAGGAAUCCUUACACAUGUAGUUUUGUUUGCAUGUAUAGAUUUCGUCUUUCAUUUCAAAUUCAUGCAUAUGCAUAAUUUCUACCUGUCAGUUAUUUUGAAUCCUUAUUUGUUCCAUUUUACUUUCCUAGGAAUAAUGCACUAUUUUCAUUACUUGGUUUUUUAUUUGAUUUUAGCUUGUUACUUGUAUUUUAAAUUUUCAUUAUUUCCUAUAUUAGUUUUUUUUACCUGUUAAUUUUGUUUUAGUUAAUUUUUCAUGUUAAUUCUUUGAUCGAACCAACUUUAUAAGGGUAUGGGGAUAAAAGGUAUUUAGCUUAGGAAUGUCUUUAACUAAUUAUCAUGGGAUCGACAUCUUGACCUUUUAGUCGUUAUUAUUACUUGUACGGCCUAUGUACUUGCAAAGUUUUGUCCAUUCAGAAAGCUUCAAAGAGUAUGUCCAAGGUGAAGAGAUAUAGUUGCGCAAGUACAACCACUCCUGACAAAGAAAGAAAUCACGAGUUUGUUUGUCAACUCCUUAAACACUCCCUAUUAUGAAAUUAUGAUUGGGAAGGUUUUGAAAAACUUUGUUGACAUGGUGAUUUAUGGGAAAUGAUAGAAAAUGCAGUCAAGAAUGCUAGGAUUAAGUUGAAUAAUGUGACUAAUGUUAAAAAGGGUAGUGCAUAAAAAAAAAAUGAAAAAGAGGUGCAAGCAGUCACACUUGAGGGGCAUCUAUCCAAAAACUUCAUGCCAUGCAAUCUUUAUCCUCUUUAUCAACCCUAUUUCCCUAUCAUAGGCAAUACUCCUAAAAUCCAUAUCUUUGUCAACCAAGCUAGCAUUUAGGCUUUCAGGCAAAUACCCAUCCUUAAAUGAUUACUCAUAAUCCUGUCUUUACAUUUGAGCCUACCACCCAACCAACAAAGAGCCAAAUAAGACCAAAAGAAAACUUCUAAUCUCCAUUUCUGAUCUUUUGCCAUUGCUAACAAAAGGUCAGUACCUCACUUUUAUGCCUCUAAAAACAACACCAAGCCCAUCAUUAAGGAGUUAUGAUCCUAAUGGUACGUGUGAUUAUCAUAUGGGGUCAAUUGGUCAUUCGACUAAAAAAUGUAAGUAGUUGAAGGAAAGGGUUGAAGAUAUCAUCAAAAGUGAUAUUUUGAUUUCGAAAUUUAUGGAACAAUGAAAGUUGACCAAUCAUGGAAUGUGAAGAGUUUAGAUAUGAGAAAGAGUUUCAAGUUUUGAAUGAUCAAAAUAUGAUAGUUUCCUUUUGAACCUUUGAAAUUCUAUUUUGUGCAUGCCAUGCAUAUCGUGUUACUAAUAGAUAUUUGGAUUAAUAUUAUUGGAUUUUGUUUUAGAAAAAUGAAUGUUUGGGAGUUUCUUAUGAAAAUUGUUUUUUUGAUGCAAUUGUUCAAAAUAAAACCCCACAUUAUGAAUUAGCAAAGUAGGAAAGUUGCAAGAAAAAAAAUACAAAAAAGGCAAAAACAAAAAAAUGGGAUUUUAUUCUUAAAUAUUGCAAAAGUCUCAAAAGAAUUGGUGUUCAUUGUGAACCAAUCCCAUUUUUCCUUUCAAAUAUUUCAUGGCCAUUUAAGUGACCUCAAACACAUAAGUCCUUUAAUUAUUAACCAAAAAUUGCCUUUGCAUUAUGUUUGUUAGCCUUGAAUUGAUCCUUAUUUUAAAAUGACAAAACAUUAAAGUUAAAUAAACUUGAUCAAGAUUUUGAAAAAGAUUUAUUUAGUACAUGUUCUUAAGUUUUAUAUUUUGGUACUAAAUAAAUAAAAUGAUUUUCAAAGCUUAAACAAACCUUUCUUUGUUUUCAUUUUUUUCAAACCAAAUCUACCUUUAAAGAUUAUUUAUUUGAGCUUAAAUGAAAGUUCAAUUGUUGUUUUCAAAGUAAACUUAUUCAUUUUGGACUUAAUACAAUUUUGAUAAUAUUGGUUUUGAGAAAUAGAUUAACUUAAGAAAGCUGUUUUACAAAAACAAAGUUUUUUAACAUUGAACUUGUUUUAUUUUUCUGUAUUAAUUCAUAAAGUCUUAAUAUUUGAAUUUUAUAUGGUUGGAAAGCUCUUUGAGUUUUCUUUCUAAUGGAUUAAACAAAAUCAAAAUCCAAAUUUUUUAAGAAAAGAUUUUGAAUUUUUACUAGACACUCUGUAAUUGUUAGAAAAACUGCACAAGGUGUAAAUUUAAAAAUUCACUAUAAUUUGUACAUAGUGAAUUAGGUGAAGUUUACAUGGAUAGAAAGAUCUUUAAGUCUAGUUUCUAAAUAUUCAAACGGUUUGUGAUUUGGAUUUGUAUAACUCAAGUUAUGAUUAAAUUAGUAAGUAGAGUACAAAACGCAAAAAUACCACCUAGCCACUGACAGGAUCAAUCCCCUCAUGGAAGGGAUCGAUCGGGUCAUGAUUUUCAAGUGAAAAAUAGUUCAAAACAUGAACCAAUCAAUCCCCUCAAGCAAGGGAUUGAUUGGUUCUGGGCGGAAACACUCCAACGGCUACUUUUUGGUGCUUCCAACAACUAUUUUCUUCUCCCAAACACUUCCAACGGCUACCUCUUCAAUUUCUUUAUAAAUUGAGCACUCCAACACACCAAAAAGAUUGAUGAAUUAAGAGAGCAAAAGCCAACAAGUCAUAUUUUCAUUCUCUCAAAGAAUCAAGAGUUUUUAGAGCUUCAAAGUCCAUAUCUUUGUCUUUAUUGUAUCCAAAUUAUAUUUGUUGUUCAUUCAUCAUUUUCUUGUACUUAAACUUAGCAAACACUUAGCCUUAGAGAGGUUUGUUCUAUUGUUUGCAAAUUUACCUUGGAUAUACAAGGCUGGAAGAGAACCAGAGGUGAGGUAUCCUCUUGAUAUUUAAGGGUAGAGGUUGUUAUCUAGGCCUUGAAAAAAAGAUAGAGAUUUAGUACAAGAUGGGUUUGUAUCUUGUAAGAAUUUUUCUUCAAUUAGUGGAUUGAAGCCUUAGUGUGGACAACCAAGAGAGAGGACAUAGGUGCCUUGUGAAGAAGGAUCAAACCUCUAUAAAUUAUUAUGUUUGGUUUCUCUAUCCCUAUCUCCUUAUAAUUUAUUGUUGUUCAUAUUUGAUUUUAAGUUCAUUAAUUGUUAUUGUUUGCAUUAUAUUUUCAUCAAAAGUGCUUAUUGUCUUAAUUUCCAUUCAAUUAUAUUGAAAUCAUUGUUUGGGAAGAAUUUUGAGAGAUCUAAUUCACCCCCUCUCUUGGAUCACCAUCUAACCUAUAAAGUUGACAAUUGGUAUCAAAGCUUUGGUCUUAUUUUUAUAGGUUUAACGACCUUCAGAAAAGAUCCUAUGGCUUAAUUUUGGUUUUAAGAUGGUGAGGAAGUCCUCAAAGCUCUUAUGGUUGAUAAAUUUGAAUAUUGUGAAUGGAGAAGGAGGAUGAAGGUGUUCAUUAUGGCCCAAGAUUUUAGAGCUUGGAAUGUGAUUGAAAAAGGGCUUGAAACUCCUUCAAAUGGUGCAAAAUACAUGAGGCAAGUGAUGGAUGAUGCCAAGGCCAAGUGCUUACUAUAUGGAGCUCUUGACUCCCACAAAUUCAACUUGGUAUCAAAAUAUCCAACCUCAAAUGAGAUAUGGGAGAAGUUGGAUGAAAUACAUGAAAGACAACAAUCCAACCGAAAUGCAUCAUGUCUCAUGGCUCUUGAAGAUCCGGAGGUAACCUCUAAUUCUAUUAAUUCAAAUUCAUAUGCUUUCGAUGAAUUACAAGAUGCUUAUAAUGAGCUAUAUAUUAAAUGUGAAUUAAUGAAGAGGAAAUAUAAGAAAAUGAUUUCAAAGUUGAAUGUAGAGAAUGAGUUUUUAAUGAAUGCAAAAAAUGCUUUGGAAAAAGAAAAUGAAAAAUUGAAAAUAGAUUUUGAAACCUCUUAAAAUAGGUAUGAAAUUCUAGAAAAAGAGAAUUUAGAAUUGAAAAAGAAAUUUGAAGUUUUGAUGAA
RNAcentral lists this long non-coding RNA (14539 nucleotides) under Durio zibethinus. RNAcentral's name for it is "long non-coding RNA (DZIB_LNC002393)". The record is from RNAcentral. Lineage: Eukaryota; Viridiplantae; Streptophyta; Magnoliopsida; Malvales; Malvaceae.